Molecule: ribosomal RNA, 425 nt
Filed under: uncultured bacterium
Lineage: Bacteria
Description: partial 16S ribosomal RNA
Rfam family: Bacterial small subunit ribosomal RNA
Source: RNAcentral
GUGAGGAAUCUUGCGCAAUGGGCGAAAGCCUGACGCAGCCAUGCCGCGUGAAUGAUGAAGGUCUUAGGAUUGUAAAAUUCUUUCACCGGGGACGAUAAUGACGGUACCCGGAGAAGAAGCUCCGGCUAACUUCGUGCCAGCAGCCGCGGUAAUACGAAGGGGGCUAGCGUUGCUCGGAAUUACUGGGCGUAAAGGGCGCGUAGGCGGACAGCUUAGUCAGAGGUGAAAGCCCAGGGCUCAACCUUGGAAUUGCCUUUGAUACUGGCUGUCUUGAGUUUGGGAGAGGUGAGUGGAACUCCGAGUGUAGAGGUGAAAUUCGUAGAUAUUCGGAAGAACACCAGUGGCGAAGGCGACUCACUGGCCCAAUACUGACGCUGAGGCGCGAAAGCGUGGGGAGCAAACAGGAUUAGAAACCCCUGUAGUCC